RNAcentral lists this long non-coding RNA (1204 nucleotides) under Homo sapiens (human). RNAcentral's name for it is "HSALNT0028021". The record is from RNAcentral. Lineage: Eukaryota; Metazoa; Chordata; Mammalia; Primates; Hominidae.
AUUUUACUACAGAAGAAGACAAUGUGACUCUGGAAGCAGAGGGAGGAAAGACAACUGAUGCAAGAAAGGGGUCACGAGCCAAGGAAUGCAGGCAUAUCCAGACGCUUGAAAAACCAGAGCACAAAUUCUCCCCUAGAGCUUCCAAAGGAACUUGCCUGGUGACACCUUUCAGACUCAUUUCAAGCUGGGCCUCUAACUGUAAGAAAGUAAAUUUCUGUUGUUUAAUGCAAGUAAGUUUGUGGUAAUUUGUUACAGCAGCCACAGGAAACAUGAAGCUAACAUAUAGCAUUUAGCAGACUUCUUUUUAGACUUCAGAUGAUGGUAUUACCGUGGAAGGAGGGUGUCCUCAGAAAGACUUGGAGCUCUGAAGACCACCAGUAAAGCCUUCUGUGCAUGCUGUCACAGAUGCACUAUUGACCUAAUAGAAAAUGUGUCAAAGGACUAGAACAAGCAACUCAAGAAGACAUUUUAAUCACCAAUAAGCAAAGGAAGAAAUGUUUUCCCUGGUGAUAAUCACUAUUAUCAAAGUGUGAUUACAUUUCCAAUUAACUGAAAAAAUUUAGCAUCAGUUACGGCAAGCGUUGGCAUGGAGGAGAGGAAAGAAGAACGUUUAUGUUUUGUCAGUGGGAAUGCAGGAGGUUGAGAGGAUCAGACUCUGCACAUAAAGGGCUUCUCCCAGUGCCUGGCUGGUAACCAGUACUUAGCAAGCAACAGCCAUUACAAGGGCAAUAGGUCUUGCUUGCACAAGGAUCCCUGAGAAGGUCUGUGGCAUUACACUGGGAAGAGCACUCUAACAAAAGGGGCUGCAGAGCCACUGGGGCACAGGGAGUCCCCCCCAAUAUACACUCAGUCCUGGCACGGGCAGCUGACAUCCGCAAAACAAUGAUCUCAAGUCCUUCUCCAGAGGUAGGAAUUUUGGGGGUACAAUUAUUCAAUUACCAGCAUGGCUAAGUCACACAAUGGUACCAGAGCCAUCUAUCAUUCCUCAUAUGACAAAAGUAGCAAGACGAAAAAGCACCAAGACUGAGAGGCUCAGCCCUGUGCCUGCUACGGCGUGUCUUGUUGGGAAUGAGCACCAUCUCCUGGACACAGUUAGAAACACGUCGAAGAUUAUCAGAGAAUCAUUUCCCAGACACCUGAGCCAAUGUUCAUUAAAUGACUCAAUGACUCUCUCCAAGAGGAAAAAAAAAAAGAAGAAAAGAAA